This 375-nucleotide RNase P RNA is filed under the name Candidatus Saccharibacteria bacterium 32-50-13. RNAcentral's name for it is "RNase P RNA component class A". It matches the Rfam family "Bacterial RNase P class A". Rfam says of the family: Ribonuclease P (RNase P) is a ubiquitous endoribonuclease, found in archaea, bacteria and eukarya as well as chloroplasts and mitochondria. Lineage: Bacteria; Candidatus Saccharimonadota. The record is from RNAcentral.
GCAGUUUAUUAGACGAUCGCUUGUAGCAUAUACAAGAGGAAAGUCCGGGCAGCGUAGGAUACGGCAGUUGCUAACGGCAACCGGGGGUAACCCUAGGGAAAGUGCCACAGAAACGAUACCGCCUCGAUUAUAACCAGUCUUGCAAGGUCCUUUCGGGGCUCGGCAAUCACUGAGAGGUAAGGGUGAAACGAGUGAGGUAAAGGCUCACAGCGACGUAUGGCGACAUACGGAGGAGGUAAACCCUGUCGGCUGCAAGGAGGUCUGUAUAAAGAGUGAUCCGCUCGCAGGCCGAUAUCCGCUCGAUUUUUUCGGCAACGGAAAGACUAGAUAGAUGAUCGUCCACGACAGAACCCGGCUUACCGAUAGACUGCCAAC